AGUUAAGAACAGCCAGGGCUCUAGAGCUGGCAGCCUGAAUUUACAUCUUUAUUCUGCUAUUUGAUGACCUUGACCUUGCUGUGCCUCAUAUGAAAGGGGAGGACUAGGUGAUAUAAGCUACUGUAAGCAGCAUAACUGGAAAAUCUUAAACGGCUAAGAGACAGCAUCACCCGAAGACAGAGAGAGAAGCAAAAAUCAGGAAAGCAGACAGACUUGGAGAUCACGGUCCCAAUUCGGCACUCACAGCACCUGCCUGCAAAAGUGGAGUUUGGAGUCUAUGAGAGUGGCCCCAGGAAAAGUGUCAUUCCCCCCAGGACGGAGCUGAGACGAGGAGACUGGAAAACAGACAGCACCUCCAGCACAGCAAGUAGCACAAGUAACCGCUCCAGCACCCGGAGCCUCCUCAGUGUGAGCAGCGGGAUGGAAGGGGACAACGAGGAUAAUGAAGUCCCUGAGGUUACCAGAAGUCGCAGUCCAGGCCCCCCACAAGUGGAUGGGACACCCACCAUGUCCCUCGAGAGACCCCCCAGGGUGCCUCCGAGAGCUGCGUCACAGAGGCCUCCGACCAGGGAGACCUUCCAUCCUCCUCCACCUGUUCCACCCAGAGGACGCUGAUUCCACCUCCUA
RNAcentral lists this small RNA (627 nucleotides) under Pan troglodytes (chimpanzee). RNAcentral's name for it is "processed transcript". The record is from RNAcentral. Lineage: Eukaryota; Metazoa; Chordata; Mammalia; Primates; Hominidae.